Molecule: ribosomal RNA, 400 nt
Filed under: uncultured bacterium
Lineage: Bacteria
Description: bacterial SSU rRNA
Rfam family: Bacterial small subunit ribosomal RNA
Source: RNAcentral
UGGGGAAUAUUGGGCAAUGGGCGAAAGCCUGACCCAGCAACGCCGCGUGAGGGAAGAAGGUUUUCGGAUUGUAAACCUCUGUCCUCAAGGACGAAGGGAGUGACGGUACUUGAGGAGGAAGCCCCGGCUAACUACGUGCCAGCAGCCGCGGUAAUACGUAGGGGGCGAGCGUUGUCCGGAAUGACUGGGCGUAAAGGGCGUGUAGGCGGCCGAUUAAGUCUGGAGUGAAAGUCCUGCUUUCAAGGUGGGAAUUGCUUUGGAGACUGGUAGGCUUGAGUGCGGAAGAGGUAAGUGGAAUUCCCAGUGUAGCGGUGAAAUGCGUAGAGAUUGGGAGGAACACCAGUGGCGAAGGCGACUUACUGGGCCGUAACUGACGCUGAGGCGCGAAAGCGUGGGGAGC